Molecule: long non-coding RNA, 375 nt
Filed under: Anolis carolinensis (green anole)
Lineage: Eukaryota; Metazoa; Chordata; Lepidosauria; Squamata; Anolidae
Description: lncRNA (ENSACAG00000042617.1)
Source: RNAcentral
AUGAACAAGUGUCUUCUUCUAGGCUUUUCCGUUCUGGUCUUAUCAACAGUUGCACAAGGUCUGGUUUGCAAAGUAUGCAAAUUCAAAUUUGGAGGUGUCUGCUACAAUUCUGAUGACCCUUGUAGAGCUGAACAUGGCCAGUUCUGUGAGACAACCAAAGUUUACUCAGGCCACAUACGUCUCUUCACAAAAUAUGGCUGCACCAAAAGCGCAGAGCUUUGCAACACGACUGAGCGGAGGGACAACGUUUUUGACAUGUCCUACAACCGCACCUGCUGUGACAGUGACUUAUGCAACGGGGGAGUGGUCAGCAAUCCUAGCUUCCCACUCUUAGCUGGCCUCGGCAUGGCAUUGGGCUGGUGGGUAGCCCAUUAA